RNAcentral lists this non-coding RNA (946 nucleotides) under Cyrtodactylus peguensis. RNAcentral describes it as "12S ribosomal RNA". It matches the Rfam family "Bacterial small subunit ribosomal RNA". Lineage: Eukaryota; Metazoa; Chordata; Lepidosauria; Squamata; Gekkonidae. The record is from RNAcentral.
CAAAGUCUUGGUCCUAAACUUACUGUUACUAACAGCUGCCAUUACACAUGCCAGUAUCCGCGCGCCAGUGCCCACGCCCACCCCAUAAAGGAGCCGGCAUCAGGCACGCCCCGCCAUGCUGCCCAAGACGCCUAGCACACGCCACACCCCCAAGGAACUCAGCAGUGAUAAACAUUAGGCAAUAAGCUCAACGCUUGACCUAGGCCCAGCCCACCAUUCAAGCCGGUAAACUCCGUGCCAGCCACCGCGGUUAUACGGCGGACUAAAAGUAACCACCCCCACGGCGUAAAAUGUGACUAGAGACCAAAGCCCGCGCACCGGGUGCACAACCCAGAUACAGCUGUAGAAUACUUAUAUCUGGCCCCGCCCUAACCGCCCACGCACGGGCCCAGCUUGACCUCACGAAAACUGAGACACAAACUAGGAUUAGAUACCCUACUAUGCUCAGCCGUAAACCAUGGCAACCAUAAAACCAGCUGCCCGCCAGAGAAUUACACGCGAAAAGCCUAAAACUCAAAAGACUUGACGGUGCUCUACCCUACCUAGAGGAGCCUGUCCUAUAAUCGAUACCCCACGAUUCACCCAACCCCUACUAGCACCACAGCCUAUAUACCGCCGUCGAAAGUAUAUCCUGCAAAGGAUCCAUAAUUAUCUCAACAGCCCGAACCACUAAAACGUCAGGUCAAGGCAUAGCUAAUGGAGAGGCAGAGAUGGGCUACAUUUUCUGAGCACAGAACAAACGAAAAAUGACAUGAAACCUGCUAUUUAAAGAUGGAUUUAGCAGUAAGAUGAAAAAGAACACUCACCUUAACCCAGCACCAGAGCACGUACACACCGCCCGUCACCCUCAUUAACAACCCUAAACCCAACCAUAUUCAACCUUACAAUCUAUAAAUGAGGCAAGUCGUAACAUGGUAAGUGUACUGGAAAGUGCACUUGGAAAACC